Molecule: long non-coding RNA, 1013 nt
Organism: Haliotis rufescens (red abalone)
Lineage: Eukaryota; Metazoa; Mollusca; Gastropoda; Lepetellida; Haliotidae
Exons: 3
Source: RefSeq, a predicted model, not a curated record
UCUUAGUGGUAUGCCCAGAACAUGUGUUUAUAGAAUUAUCUCCCUUAGUAGGAAAAAACCGAUUUGUUGUGAUGAAAGCGCAUGGUUGAGAAUUGGGAAAACUGCGAUGUUGGAUGUAAAUGAAGAGGAACCAUGGUGUUCACGGAGUCUACGAUGUGUAUUUGAGUAACUAUAUUUGUUGUGUGAUAUGCGACGGCUCCCGUAUUUGACAUGCAUCUGAAUAAAUCCUCGAACUUUGAAUUUUGUGUUUACUGCGAGUUGCACGUGCGAAUUCGUCCCUAGCGGGGUACCGCUAUAGACAUAUUCAGAUGUGAAGAAUCAAGAACAGAUUUAAUGACAGGGAAGUUUUGCAUCAGUGAUCAUCGUGAAGUGGAAGAUAAGACAUUUUAAGGGUACCUGGAUUUCAUAGUGACACCAGUUCAGACAAGCCAUACAAAAGACUCAUCGGAUGAUGAAUAUUCCACCCCAGAACAACCAACAGGUUCACCUCAGAAAGUGAUAAUUCUGACUGAAUAAUGCCACAUCAGUGUGAUUCUGUGGGUUGUUUUAUUACGACACUAAUCAAGUCUGAAGGAAUUAAUACCACAGUAGUGUGACUAUGUUUAUUUGGUGUACACCAACGAUGACUUUUGUGGUUUACUGCACAAACACAAUUGACAUUAGAUAUUCUUCUAUCUUGAAAUUCUUCUGAGAUUUAACUAAUUUGUUUAUUUAGAAAAAGGCAUUGAAGCGUCUGUUUCUGUUUUUGAAAGUUCUUGCAAACACCACUGGUUUCAGAACCAAUGAAAUAUCAUAAAAUCAAUAAAUAUGAUUUUUUAUCUAAACAAAUUCUUUGUUUUGCUUCAUUAGCAUAAAGAAAUAUAAUAUUGAUCAACCAUAACAUAGGUGCUGAACAUAUAUCAAAUAUACAAAUGCCCUGAAUAUUUUCCUACAAUUAAUAUAGCUCAUUGAACAAUGUUUUUUUGUUCCAUGUCAGUAGAAAAAAUACAUUGAUAUUUCUAUGUACUGGUACC